GGGGUUGCAAACAAAGCAGCAGAUGGAUUAUCUCGUAUUCAGCAUCCUGUUUAUGCAUUGUUGUUGG
RNAcentral lists this small RNA (67 nucleotides) under Arabidopsis thaliana (thale cress). RNAcentral describes it as "ATSL043490". Lineage: Eukaryota; Viridiplantae; Streptophyta; Magnoliopsida; Brassicales; Brassicaceae. The record is from RNAcentral.